ACCAGGGGACUACGAAUAAUAAUUUAAAUUUAAAACCCAAAGGGCUUGGCGGUGUUUUAGACUACUUAGGGGAGCUUGUUUCAUAAUCGACAAUCCACGAUAAACCUAACCUCCUUUUGCUUUCAGUAUGUAUACCGUUGUCGUCAGGUAACUUUUAAAAAUAAAAAAGCUAGCAAAUAAGCUUUAAGCUUACACGUCAAAUCAAGGUGCAGCCUACAAGGAGGAGAGAAUGAGCUACAAUUAAAACUUAUAAUAUGAAUAAAACUUAGAAAUAGAAUUUGAAGGAGGACUUAAAAGUAAAAAAGUAAACAUAAAAAC
Molecule: ribosomal RNA, 318 nt
Filed under: Potamopyrgus antipodarum
Lineage: Eukaryota; Metazoa; Mollusca; Gastropoda; Littorinimorpha; Tateidae
Description: partial 12S ribosomal RNA
Source: RNAcentral